CCUACGGGAGGCAGCAGUAGGGAAUUUUCCACAAUGGGCGAAAGCCUGAUGGAGCAACGCCGCGUGCAGGAUGAAGGCCUUCGGGUUGUAAACUGCUUUUAUAUGUGACGAAUAUGACGGUAGCAUAUGAAUAAGGAUCGGCUAACUCCGUGCCAGCAGCCGCGGUAAU
RNAcentral lists this ribosomal RNA (169 nucleotides) under uncultured bacterium. Its description in RNAcentral is "partial 16S ribosomal RNA". It matches the Rfam family "Bacterial small subunit ribosomal RNA", at positions 338 to 524 of the family's 1533-position model. The record is from RNAcentral.